GUAGAUAGAUUAAGCAAUAUAGAAUAAACGAAUUUUAAUUUACUCCAUUGUGGGAGGUCUAAUAAGUAAAUCAUGCAUUAGAUAUAAUCGAAAUUUGCAUAUAAGAUUGAAAGUUCAUCAUACGUGUAUUUAUGGUAAAGUGUUAAAUAAAGUGUUGUUAUAUAAAAUUAAAAAAUUAUACUUUAAUAACUUCCUCUUAAGUUACAUUUGGCAAAUUUAACAGCAACCUUAGCAUAAUUGAUAUCGCAAAAUAAGCUAAUUCAUUUCAUCUAUUGUGACUAUCAUAGAAAUAUUUAUAUGCUACAGUAUACAUAUACAAUAUCAAUAUCAAUCAAUACAAAAUGUAGAUUUUUAUAUAUUAACUAUCUGCUGUAUUCGAAGUUUACCAUUUUAUACAAAUAUAGAUGCAAGUGUCUUAUCAGUAAUGCGAUAAUUGGGAUGAAAGUAUUUCUACGUCGUAUCAGAUAUUGAAUAUCGAGCACAAUUGUCAAUCAGUCGACUUGCUUUAAGUGUAUUAAUUACAUCGCAUAAGAAAAUAAUUAUUUAAUUUUAAAUUAAAAGUAUGAUUUUAAGUUUUUUGGAUUUCCAAAAUGAAGUUAUUAAAAAUUAUUUACAUUGUUUCAUGUGGAAUUUGUAGUGUUAUAGUUGUUAUCAUUAUAGCAGUCAGUUUUAUAUUAUUGAGUGUAAGAGACCAUUUAAAAAAUAAUUCAACCGAGCCUACAGAUGUCCAGGAUUCUGAUGAUUUUUUACUUCUAUACCAAUAAAUCAUUCAUUAUUCUCAGUUAUGAAUAAACGUAAUAAUUCAAACUUUAUAGAACUGAAGAUAU
Ceratosolen solmsi marchali is the source of this 827-nucleotide long non-coding RNA. RefSeq lists it as uncharacterized. Lineage: Eukaryota; Metazoa; Arthropoda; Insecta; Hymenoptera; Agaonidae. The record is from RefSeq and is a predicted model, not a curated record. The transcript is spliced from 3 exons.